UGGAACUGCAUUUGAUACUGGCAAACUAGAGUAUGGUAGAGGAAUGGGGAAUUUCUGGUGUAGCGGUGAAAUGCGUAGAGAUCAGAAGGAACACCAAUGGCGAAGGCAACAUUCUGGACCAAUACUGACACUGAGGGACGAAAGCGUGGGGAUCAAACAGGAUUAGAUACCCUGGUAGUCCACGCUGUAAACGAUGAGUACUAGCUGUUGGAUUCGGUGUAAAGGAUCUAGUGGCGUAGCUAACGCGUUAAGUACUCCGCCUGGGGACUACGGCCGCAAGGCUAAAACUCAAAGGAAUUGACGGGGACCCGCACAAGCGGUGGAGCAUGUGGUUUAAUUCGAUGCAACGCGAAGAACCUUACCUGGUCUUGACAUCCUGCGAACUUUCUAGAGAUAGAUUGGUGCCUUCGGGAACGCAGUGACAGGUGCUGCACGGCUGUCGUCAGCUCGUGUUGUGAAAUGUUGGGUUAAGUCCCGCAACGAGCGCAACCCCUAUUGAUAGUUACCAUCAUUAAGUUGGGUACUCUAUUGAGACUGCCGCUGACAAGGCGGAGGAAGGUGGGGACGACGUCAAGUCAUCAUGGCCCUUACGACCAGGGCUACACACGUGCUACAAUGGGUAUUACAGAGGGCAGCGAAGUAGCGAUAUGGAGCGAAACUCAGAAAGGUACUCUUAGUCCGGAUUGCAGUCUGCAACUCGACUGCAUGAAGUCGGAAUCGCUAGUAAUCGCAGGUCAGAAUACUGCGGUGAAUACGUUCCCGGGUCUUGUACACACCGCCCGUCACACCAUGGGAGUGGGUUGCUCCAGAAGUAGAUAGCUUAACGAAUGGGC
RNAcentral lists this ribosomal RNA (833 nucleotides) under uncultured bacterium. Its description in RNAcentral is "bacterial SSU rRNA". It matches the Rfam family "Bacterial small subunit ribosomal RNA", at positions 616 to 1447 of the family's 1533-position model. The record is from RNAcentral.